RNAcentral lists this ribosomal RNA (492 nucleotides) under Filobasidium uniguttulatum. RNAcentral's name for it is "eukaryotic LSU rRNA". It matches the Rfam family "Eukaryotic large subunit ribosomal RNA", at positions 148 to 631 of the family's 3401-position model. The record is from RNAcentral. Lineage: Eukaryota; Fungi; Basidiomycota; Tremellomycetes; Filobasidiales; Filobasidiaceae.
AUCUAUAGAAGUGUUUUCCGUGCUGGCCCAUGUACAAGUCCCUGGAACAGGGCGUCAUAGAGGGUGAGAAUCCCGUCCUUGACAUGGACUACCAGUGCUCUGUGAUACACUUUCAACGAGUCGAGUUGUUUGGGAAUGCAGCUCAAAAUGGGUGGUAAAUUCCAUCUAAAGCUAAAUAUUGGCGAGAGACCGAUAGCGAACAAGUACCGUGAGGGAAAGAUGAAAAGCACUUUGGAAAGAGAGUUAAACAGUAUGUGAAAUUGUUGAAAGGGAAACGAUUGAAGUCAGUCGUGCUCAAUGGACUCAGCCGUUCUGCGGUGUAUUUCCAUUGGGUGGGGUCAACAUCAGUUUUGAUCGCUGGAUAAAGGCAGGAGGAAUGUAGCACCCCCGGGUGAACUUAUAGCCUCUUGUCACAUACAGUGGUUGGGACUGAGGAACGCAGCAUGCCUUUAUGGCCGGGAUUCGUCCACGUACAUGCUUAGGAUGUUACAU